RNAcentral lists this ribosomal RNA (459 nucleotides) under Triticum aestivum (bread wheat). RNAcentral's name for it is "partial small subunit ribosomal RNA". The record is from RNAcentral. Lineage: Eukaryota; Viridiplantae; Streptophyta; Magnoliopsida; Poales; Poaceae.
AUGAGAGGCACACCUGGAUAUUUAGCUCCUGAAUGGUUGACAUCACAGAUCACGGAAAAGGUCGAUGUCUAUAGCUUUGGUGUUGUGGUCAUGGAAGUCAUCAGCGGAAGAAAGAACCUCGACAAUUCUCGAUCCGAAGAGAGCAUCCAUCUCAUCACCAUUGAGGAAAAGGUGAAGACUAAUCGGUUGGUAGAAUUGAUUGACAAUAAGAGUAACGAUAUGCUAGCACAUAAGCAGGAUGUAAUUGGGAUGAUGAACCUCGCAAUGUGGUGUUUGCAGAUUGACUACAAAAGAAGGCCUAAAAUGUCUGAGGUAGUCAAGGUCUUGAAAGGUGCCAUGAAUGCAGAGAGCAACAUUGAUCAUAACUUCGUUGCAACAAGUCAAGUGUAUUUCGGCGCUGCUGGAAAUGUGGGCUUAUCGGUUCCAUAUCUAGCUUCACAUGUAUCAGGUCCUAGGUGA